RNAcentral lists this ribosomal RNA (207 nucleotides) under uncultured bacterium. RNAcentral describes it as "partial 16S ribosomal RNA". It matches the Rfam family "Bacterial small subunit ribosomal RNA", at positions 568 to 773 of the family's 1533-position model. The record is from RNAcentral.
CGUGUAGGCGGCGAUUUAAGUCUGGAGUGAAAGUCCUGCUUUUAAGGUGGGAAUUGCUUUGGAUACUGGAUGGCUAGAGUGCAGGAGAGGUUAGUGGAAUUCCCAGUGUAGCGGUGAAAUGCGUAGAGAUUGGGAGGAACACCAGUGGCGAAGGCGACUAACUGGACUGUAACUGACGCUGAGGCGCGAAAGUGUGGGGGAGCAAAC